UGGGGAAUAUUGCACAAUGGGCGCAAGCCUGAUGCAGCCAUGCCGCGUGUAUGAAGAAGGCCUUCGGGUUGUAAAGUACUUUCAGCGGGGAGGAAGGGAGUAAAGUUAAUACCUUUGCUCAUUGACGUUACCCGCAGAAGAAGCACCGGCUAACUCCGUGCCAGCAGCCGCGGUAAUACGGAGGGUGCAAGCGUUAAUCGGAAUUACUGGGCGUAAAGCGCACGCAGGCGGUUUGUUAAGUCAGAUGUGAAAUCCCCGGGCUCAACCUGGGAACUGCAUCUGAUACUGGCAAGCUUGAGUCUCGUAGAGGGGGGUAGAAUUCCAGGGAUAGCGGUGAAAUGCGUAGAGAUCUGGAGGAAUACCGGUGGCGAAGGCGGCCCCCUGGACGAAGACUGACGCUCAGGUGCGAAAGCGUGGGGAGCAAACAGG
Molecule: ribosomal RNA, 429 nt
Filed under: Chloroflexota bacterium
Lineage: Bacteria; Bacillati; Chloroflexota
Description: Chloroflexi bacterium partial 16S ribosomal RNA
Rfam family: Bacterial small subunit ribosomal RNA
Source: RNAcentral